This is a long non-coding RNA of Lycium barbarum (goji berry), 2692 nucleotides long. RefSeq lists it as uncharacterized. The record is from RefSeq and is a predicted model, not a curated record. The transcript is spliced from 3 exons. Lineage: Eukaryota; Viridiplantae; Streptophyta; Magnoliopsida; Solanales; Solanaceae.
CUAUUUUUAGCGUUCAAAUAUUUCUUUUAGGUUUAGUUAAAUAUUUUAAUUUUUUAUUUCAUUUUUAGUAAGCCUUACAUUUAAAGCUCGAAAGCUACAAAAAUAUAGCCUCAUUUUAGGAUAAGUUUUGCCUCUUUAUUUUUUAAAAGAAAAUGAAACUUAAAAAAUAUGUCUUCUUUAAUUUAGGAUUUAAUAAAUAAGCUAGUGAUUUUAGUAUUUUCUUAGUUAUAUUUUAUUAUGGACUAGCUAUUUUUUUUUUUCUAUAUUUCAUUUGUCUAGAUAUAAUUAGCUAAUAUUCUUAUCCUCAUAUUUUUAUCUUUAUUUAACUUUAAUAAAACAAAAAAAAAAAGAUCCAAACAACUGGAAAAAAAAAACUACUACUAACCUAAAAAUAGUAAUCUGUAAACACCCCCCUUUUCCCAUUACCGCCACCACACGUACACACACACACAUACACAAAAUCUAAGAAACCUACACCAAGUCUAAUUCUCCUCCCUUACGUCUUCUUCCCCCAUGCUAAUCCUUGUAACCCCUUCGACCAAAAAUUUCUCAGCCAAAGUUAUCCCCUAAACUCCUACUCCCUCACGUUACACAACCAGCACACAAUAUACAAUAUAAAUACACACACCUACACACGACAGAAACACACGAAAAAAAAAAGUUAAAAUAGAGCAAAACAGUGAGCACAAACCAUAGAGAGGAAAAAUACCUAAAAGAAAUUUUGGAGAUUCUAAAAGGUUUAAUUGGAGUUCGAGGUUUUGAGUUCGUGGACCCGAAAGUUAGCUUUUGCUAGCUUUGGAAAAUCUAUAAUUUGUACGUCGGUUUCGUUGUUAAUCAAAAAGAAUUUGAAGAUUUUGGACGAGAUUGGGAUCGACGCCAAGCGAGCGUAAGGCGCUAUCGAGGUACAGGUGCACUCGGUGACACGCCGCCAGUCUAGGGCACAGGUUCUGCUAUCUUGAAGAGCUCCUUUUGAUUCGGAGCAUGUACUUUGGUAUAUAUAUCUUCUGUUUUCCAUAUGUUCUGUAUGUAUGGAGGUUCUGGGUACGGCGGGGCCCUGUCCCGUCAUAUGAUUCUGUAUGUCUGUAGAGGCCUGUAGAUAGAUGUGUGGGUUACGGGUUUCGUCUGUAUGUUAGCCUUAUCGGCUUAUCUGUAAAUGUCUGCAUGUUCAGGUAUAUAUAUAUGUUUGCGCGCGUGCCGUAUCUGUAUCGGCCUACUUCUGUAAUAUCCGUUUGAAAAAAAAAAUCUGUACGAUACGAAAUUCGGUCAGGUAGGUAUGUACGGGUACCCAGCUAGGGUGCCAGUCGCGGCCCACGGGGUUGGGUCGUGACAGAAGUGGUAUCAGAGCGGUUAGUCCUCGGAAUGUCUACAGGCCGUGUCUAGUAGAGUCUUGUUUAUCGAUGUGUUGUGCACCACAUCUAUAAACAGGAAGCUACAGGGCAUCUAGGAUGUUACCCUUCUUUGAAUCUUAGAUCAUGCGAUAGAGCCAGCUGUAGGAUAUGAAUUCCUUUCGACUAACUUUUAAUUUCAGCCAAAGGACGGCAUCGACAGAAGGCAAUGGCUGAUGAUAUUGGAGGCCGCACAGUACUCAGGUAAGCAAUAAUAUGAAAGCUGUGUGUCGGAGAAGUUGUUUGAUGUGUGGUAGAAAUAUAAAGUUGAAGAUUGAACAGAAAAGUGAACAGGAAGGAGCCUGCGAUGUUGUUCGAGUUGGGCAUGUGAGGUAAGCCUCGACAUCUGUAUAAUUUUAUCUGUAAUUGUUAGCCCCGUGUGGCUACGAGACGACAUGAUAUGAUGUAUAUAUAUAUAUGCGUAUAUGUGUUGGCCCUGUGAGGCAUGGUUGGUAUUUCUUGUGUACAGGUUUCGGAUAGUAAGAAAUACAGAGGAACCUCUGCCCAAAUGUUUUUCCAGAGAUAUGGAAGUAAAUAUAUAUAAAGUAAGUACAAACAGGUUCCGCGAUACUUGUCGGAAUUUAGUUUUCUUCUGUCGGUGGUUGGAGAGCACCUUAUGGUGAUAUUUUAUCAGAUUUCACCGACUAUUUGGAGACGGAAUUCGUGGGACGAAGACUUAAAUCUGUGGCCUGUCUGUAAUUGUAUGUAUAUGUGUAUGAAAGUGAAUAUCGGAGAUUCAGAAAGGCAAUAUGGUAAUUGUGCAACUUAGCCGGGGGUGGGACCCGCUACAAAAAUUUUCCGAAAAUUUGCUAAGACCCCGAUUUGCCCUAAAAUUAUGUGACAAAGGUCCUGCAGGGCAAUUGACGAAAAUAUAUCAGCCCUAACGCGUCAAAAUGCAUGAAAGUUUCGGGGUUAAGCGUGCUCAAGCCAGAGCAAUUCUGGGAUGGGUGACCCCCCUGGGAAGUAAUGCAAAAUUUUGCACAAGUGUAAGUAUGAUAGAUAUAAAUGAAAAUUUGGGGUAAUCUAAAGGAAAAGAGAAUGUGUGGAGUAAUUAGUGCCCUUACAGGAGUCGCGCAGAACGAGGCGGACUAAAUGGGCAAAAAGAAAAGGUGCAACACCGCUCGGGAAAUUGAGCGGAUUUGAAUAACAGUCAGAGACGUUCGCCAGUAAGAUACUAGUAAAUAUAUCUGUAUGUGUGUAUGUGUGUGUGUAUAAUUUUCGUUUGGUGCCCAUAUGGAUCAAGAGCCGAGUCCCGGCAACUAAUGUUGUGAUAGACGAAAGGUUUUACUAAACCGAAUACAUGAAAC